This 283-nucleotide ribosomal RNA is filed under the name uncultured Desulfofustis sp. RNAcentral's name for it is "partial 16S ribosomal RNA". It matches the Rfam family "Bacterial small subunit ribosomal RNA", at positions 1095 to 1382 of the family's 1533-position model. The record is from RNAcentral. Lineage: Bacteria; Pseudomonadati; Thermodesulfobacteriota; Desulfobulbia; Desulfobulbales; Desulfocapsaceae.
AGCGCAACCCUUGUCUUAGUUGCCAGCAUUAAGUUGGGCACUCUAAGAGACUGCCGGUGUCAAACCGGAGGAAGGUGGGAUGACGUCAAGUCCUCAUGGCCUUUAUGAUCAGGGCUACACACGUACUACAAUGGCCGGUACAACGGGCAGCGACAUAGCGAUAUGAAGCCAAUCCCUGAAAGCCGGUCUCAGUCCGGAUUGGAGUCUGCAACUCGACUCCAUGAAGUUGGAAUCGCUAGUAAUCGCGGAUCAGCAUGCCGCGGUGAAUACGUUCCCGGGCCUU